This 426-nucleotide ribosomal RNA is filed under the name uncultured bacterium. Its description in RNAcentral is "bacterial SSU rRNA". It matches the Rfam family "Bacterial small subunit ribosomal RNA", at positions 355 to 792 of the family's 1533-position model. The record is from RNAcentral.
UGGGGAAUAUUGCACAAUGGGCGCAAGCCUGAUGCAGCGACGCCGCGUGAGGGAUGACGGCCUUCGGGUUGUAAACCUCUGUUAGCAGGGAAGAAGAGAGAUUGACGGUACCUGCAGAGAAAGCGCCGGCUAACUACGUGCCAGCAGCCGCGGUAAUACGUAGGGCGCGAGCGUUGUCCGGAAUUAUUGGGCGUAAAGAGCUUGUAGGCGGUUUGUCGCGUCUGCUGUGAAAGGCCGGAGCUUAACUCCGUGUAUUGCAGUGGGUACGGGCAGACUAGAGUGCAGUAGGGGAGACUGGAAUUCCUGGUGUAGCGGUGGAAUGCGCAGAUAUCAGGAGGAACACCGAUGGCGAAGGCAGGUCUCUGGGCUGUAACUGACGCUGAGAAGCGAAAGCAUGGGGAGCGAACAGGAUUAGAUACCCUGGUA